UUAAAAACUGCUAUUUUUGGAAAGUUUUCAUUUUAUAGAUAAAUGUUGUAGAUUUGGGUUUGUGAUUUAGAACUUAGGAUAACUAGACUAUUUGUGGAUAGAUGAACACUCUUUAAGAAUUUUUCAUCAAUGUGUUGUAUUUUUAAAUAAUUUUCUUAACAACUGCUAUUUUUGGAAAGUUUUCAUUUUAUAAAUAAAUAUUGUAGAUUUGGGUUUGUGAUUUAAAAAUUAGGAUAACAAAAAUAUUUGUGGAUAUGUGAGUAUUAUUUAAGAAUUUUUCAUUAAUGUGUUGUAUUUUUAGAUAAAAUUCUUAAAAACUGCUAUUUUUGUAAUGUUUUCAUUUUAUAGAUAAAUAUAGUAGAUUUGGGUUUGUGAUUAGGAUACCUAGACUAUUUGUGGAUAGAUGAACACUCUUUAAGAAUUUUUCAUCAAUAGGUUGUAUUUUUAAAUAAUUUUUUUAAAAACUGCAAUUUUUGAAAACAUUUCAUUUUUUUAUAGAUUAAUAUUGUAGAUUUGGGUUUGUGAUUUAGAAAUUAGGAUAACAAGAAUAUUUGUGGAUAAUUGAGUAUUAUUUUAGAAAUUUUCAUCACCAAGUUGUAUUUUUAAAUAAUUUUCUUAAAACUGCUAUUUUUGGAAAGUUUUCAUUUUAUAGAUAAAUAUUGUAGAUUUGGGUUUGUGAUUUAGAACUUAUGAUAACUAGACUAUUUGUGGAUAGAUGAACACUCUUUAAGAGUUUUUCAUCAAUAGGUUGUAUUUUUAAAUAAAUUUCUUAAAAACUACUAUUUUUGGAAAGUUUUCAUUUUAUAGAUAAAUAUUGUAGAUUUGGGUUUGUGAUUUAAAACUUAGGAUAACUAGACUAUUUGUGGAUAGACGAACACUCUUUAAGAAUUUUUUAUCAAUGUGUUGUAUUUUUAAAUAAUUUUCUUAACAACUGCUAUUUUUGGAAAGUUUUAAUUUUAUAGAUAAAUAUUUUAGAUUUGGGUUUGUGAUUUAAAAAUUAGGAUAACAAGAAUAUUUGUGGAUAGAUGAGUAUCAUUUAAGAUUUUUUCAUCCAUGGGUUGUAUUUUUAAAUAAUUUUCUUAAAAACUACUAUUUUUGGAAAGUUUUCAUUUAUUUAAAGAAAUAUAGUAGAAUUGAGUUUGUGGUUUAAAAAUUAAGAUAACAAGAAUAUUUAGGGGUAAUUGAGUAUUCAUUUAAAAAAUUUCAUCACCAAGUUGUAUUUUAAAAUAAUUUUCUUAAAAACUCUUAUUUUUGGAAAGUUUUCAUUUUAUAGAUAAAUAUUGUAGAUUUGGGUUUCUGAUUUAGAACUUAGGAUAACUAGACUAUUUGUGGAUAGAUGAACACUCUUUAAGAAUUUUUCAUCAAUAGGUUGUAUUUUUAAAUAAUUUUCUUAAAAACUGCUAUUUUUGGAAAGUUUUCAUUUUAUAGAUAAAUAUUGUAGAUUUGGGUUUAUCUAGUAAUUAGGAUAACCAAAAUAUUUGUGGAUACAUAAAUAUUCUUUCAGAAUUUUGCAUCAAUAUGUUGUAUUUUUAAAUAAUUUCCUUAAAACUGCUAUUUUUGGAAAGUUUUCAUUUUUUUGAGAAAUAUUGUAGAUUUGGGUUUGUGGUUUAAAAAAUAGGAUACAAGAAUAUUUGUGGAUUGAUGAGUAUUAUUUAAGAAUUUUUCAUCAAUGUGUUGUAUUUUUAAAUAAUUUUCUUAAAAAC
RNAcentral lists this long non-coding RNA (1703 nucleotides) under Brassica napus (rape). Its description in RNAcentral is "long non-coding RNA (BNAP_LNC007397)". Lineage: Eukaryota; Viridiplantae; Streptophyta; Magnoliopsida; Brassicales; Brassicaceae. The record is from RNAcentral.